This 229-nucleotide unclassified non-coding RNA is filed under the name Melitaea cinxia (Glanville fritillary). Its description in RNAcentral is "misc RNA ENSMCXG00005011523.1". The record is from RNAcentral. Lineage: Eukaryota; Metazoa; Arthropoda; Insecta; Lepidoptera; Nymphalidae.
UUUUAAAACAAUUAAUUUUUUUUUUUUUUUUUUUUUUUUUUUUUUUUUUUUUUUUUUUUUUUUUUUUUUUUUUUUUUUCGCGGUUUUUUUUUUUUUCUUUUGUUUUUUUUUUCAUUUUUAUUGGAUAUAUCUGUAUGCUUUAAAACGAAUUUUAAUACAAAAAAAUUAAAUGUUUGAAAUAACUGUAGACUUUCGUUAUUAUUAUGAAAUUCAUAUACUCUAACAAAAA